This 72-nucleotide transfer RNA is filed under the name Camelus bactrianus (Bactrian camel). It matches the Rfam family "tRNA". From Rfam's summary of the family: Transfer RNA (tRNA) molecules are approximately 80 nucleotides in length. Their secondary structure includes four short double-helical elements and three loops (D, anti-codon, and T loops). Further hydrogen bonds mediate the characteristic L-shaped molecular structure. tRNAs have two regions of fundamental functional importance: the anti-codon, which is responsible for specific mRNA codon recognition, and the 3' end, to which the tRNAs corresponding amino acid is attached (by aminoacyl-tRNA synthetases). tRNAs cope with the degeneracy of the genetic code in two manners: having more than one tRNA (with a specific anti-codon) for a particular amino acid; and 'wobble' base-pairing, i.e. permitting non-standard base-pairing at the 3rd anti-codon position. RNAcentral also lists the same sequence under 2 other names. Lineage: Eukaryota; Metazoa; Chordata; Mammalia; Artiodactyla; Camelidae. The record is from Rfam by way of RNAcentral.
GUGGGUAUAGCUGAGUGGUAGAGCACCUGUUUAGCAUGCAUGAGGUCCUAGGUUCAAUCCCCAGGACCUUCA